Non-coding RNA from Anas platyrhynchos (mallard), 510 nucleotides. Lineage: Eukaryota; Metazoa; Chordata; Aves; Anseriformes; Anatidae. The record is from RefSeq and is a predicted model, not a curated record.
CCUGCGGGGACACGGGGACACGGCUGAGCGCACGGGGAGGGCACGGCCGGGCCUCGGCACCGGGGAGCCCCCCGUUCCCCUCCCGGUGCUCACCACUGGUUGUCCUGCAUCAGCUCCGUGCUGGUGUCCGAGCUCUGCAGCUCCUCCCCGCGGCUCAGCACCAGGCUUUAAUUCAGGCUCCUGGUUUCCCUCGUUAAGCCUCCCGCCCCGGCACGGUCACCUCGUCCUGAGCGUCCUUCUUGAUGAGGAAGGGCAGGUUCCUGGCCGUCGCCAUGAGGACGUCGGCCGCCUGCUCGGGGGACAGGAAGGGGAGGAUGCGUGCCACCAGGCGCUUUCCUUUCCGGAUGCACAUGAUCUGCAUGAAGUGGUCAUCGCUCGGCCUGCCGCGCAGGGGAGGAAGGAGCUGACUCAGCGGGGUGCCAGAGCGCUCCCGAGGGGGUUCCCAGAGGCGCCCCGACACCACAGGAAAUAAAAACAGGGACGGGGAGAGCAGUGACACCCCCGCGUCCA